GAUGAACGCUAGCGGGAGGCUUAACACAUGCAAGUCGAGGGGCAUCACGAGGUAGCAAUACUUUGGUGGCGACCGGCGCACGGGUGAGUAACGCGUAUGUAACCUACCCUAUACAGGGGGAUAGCCCGGAGAAAUUCGGACUAAUAUCCCAUAAUGAUAUUGAAAGGCAUCUUUUAAUAUUUAAAGCUCAGGCGGUACGGGAUGGGCAUGCGGAACAUUAGCUAGUUGGUAGGGUAACGGCCUACCAAGGCUGCGAUGUUUAGGGGACCUGAGAGGGUUAUCCCCCACACUGGUACUGAGACACGGACCAGACUCCUACGGGAGGCUG
RNAcentral lists this ribosomal RNA (328 nucleotides) under uncultured Bacteroidota bacterium. RNAcentral describes it as "bacterial SSU rRNA". It matches the Rfam family "Bacterial small subunit ribosomal RNA", at positions 28 to 351 of the family's 1533-position model. Lineage: Bacteria; Pseudomonadati; Bacteroidota. The record is from RNAcentral.